AGUUGGUAUCAGAGCCUUUGGCUUUAAGAGUGUGCGGCAAACAAUGGCUGAAGUGAGUGAAACAAGUGACAAGACGCAAGAGAGAAAUGACCAUGCGCAAGGAGUGUCUUCUUUGGUGGAACAGCCGGCUGGUACAAAGACCAAGUGGUUGGGCAAGUUUAUGAGCUCUUCUCAAAUGAGAGAGGAGUUGGGAAACCUUGAAACGAAACUGGAGAAAUUGAAAAAUGAAAAUGAGGCUAUGAGAAUUGUUCAUGCCGAGGAGAUAGCCAUCGUGAGGAAAGACAACCAUGCUCUUAAAGAAGAGGUAGAAAGAUUGAAGGGAGAAAUGAAGGGUUUACGGGGAGAACUUGAAUUGCUUGCAAGAUUGGUGGCCCAAAAAUGUGGGACCAAUCCUCACUCCACAUUCUCUACCC
Molecule: unclassified non-coding RNA, 413 nt
Filed under: Hevea brasiliensis (rubber tree)
Lineage: Eukaryota; Viridiplantae; Streptophyta; Magnoliopsida; Malpighiales; Euphorbiaceae
Source: RNAcentral